RNAcentral lists this ribosomal RNA (408 nucleotides) under uncultured bacterium. Its description in RNAcentral is "partial 16S ribosomal RNA". It matches the Rfam family "Bacterial small subunit ribosomal RNA", at positions 28 to 526 of the family's 1533-position model. The record is from RNAcentral.
GACGAACGCUGGCGGCGUCCUUAACACAUGCAAGUCGAACGACGUGGCGAACGGGUGAGUAACCCGUACUCAACCUGCCCUUCAGAGGGGGACAACAGUUGGAAACGACUGCUACUACCGCAUACUGAAGUACGGGAUUCCGUCUGAUUAGCUAGUUGGAGGGGAAACGGCCCACCAGGGCGAGGAUCAGUAGCCGGGCUGAGAGGAUGAACGGCAAGAGGGGGACUGAGAGACGGCCCAGACUCCUAGGGGAGGAAGCAGUGGGGAGUCUUACGCAAUGGAGGAAAGUCUGACGGAGCAACGCAGCGUGAGUGAUGACGGCCUUCGGGUUGUAAAGCUCUGUUAAGCGGGACGCGGUACCGGAAUAGAAAGCCACGGCUAACUACGUGCCAGCAGCCGCGGUAAUUC